AAUACAAAUAAUGUUGUUUAUUUCUCUAAAUAUAGAAGGACACGGACGCGGGAUAUAAAUAGAUACAAAACAAAUAUUAUUAACAAUGGAUGCUAUUAUGGAAAAAUCAUUAUGGUGAGAUGGUAAGUCAAACUGGGAAAAAUUAAGGGACUUUUUGAUGAGUAUGGCAACACCGCCAUACCCAUCGGCUCUAUCUUCCCUGAGACAGGAAUAACCAGGAAUUUUAAAACAAAAUUCCGGUUUUAACCACGUCUCACAUAGAGCUAUAAUACAAGGGUUAAAUUUGUUAAUAAGAUAAAUUAAAUCAGAUUUGUUCUUCACUACGCUUCUGCAGUUCCAUUGUAGUACUUUGCCUAAACAUGUCCACUGGUACACCUCUUACAAGCCCCAUUCUGGUAACAUUAAAUGAUGGAAUAAAGGCUUCAUAGCCUUUUUCAAUAAGGCAUGAUGCUUUAUAAAAGAAUUUGCAGCUGAGUGACUGGAGAAUGCCAUCGAAAUUUUGUUGCGACCGAUACGUUUCAAACUGCCUUGUACUAUGUUUGGCACCUGGUUUUAUAUAAAAAUCUGCCAAAGCAUAUUGGAUGCAAGUUGAGAUCCUGUGUUACCUCACCAGUACUAGACCUAGCAACAUGAAUAAUGAAUGGUGAAGCAUCCAAUGCA
Molecule: long non-coding RNA, 660 nt
Organism: Manduca sexta (tobacco hornworm)
Lineage: Eukaryota; Metazoa; Arthropoda; Insecta; Lepidoptera; Sphingidae
Exons: 2
Source: RefSeq, a predicted model, not a curated record